Molecule: ribosomal RNA, 544 nt
Filed under: uncultured Gammaproteobacteria bacterium
Lineage: Bacteria; Pseudomonadati; Pseudomonadota; Gammaproteobacteria
Description: bacterial SSU rRNA
Rfam family: Bacterial small subunit ribosomal RNA
Source: RNAcentral
AGGCCUAACACAUGCAAGUCGAGCGGCAGCAGGUCCUUCGGGAUGCUGGCGAGCGGCGGACGGGUGAGUAACACGUGGGAAUUUACCCUUCGGUGGGGGAUAGCCCGGGGAAACUCGGAUUAAUACCGCAUAUCUCCUGCGGGAGAAAGUGGGCCUCUGAUGCAAGCUCACGCCGAUGGAUGAGCCCGCGUCCAAUUAGCUAGUUGGUAGGGUAAAGGCCUACCAAGGCGACAAUUGGUAGCUGGUUUGAGAGGAUGAUCAGCCACACCGGAACUGAGACACGGUCCGGACUCCUACGGGAGGCAGCAGUGGGGAAUCUUGGUCAAUGGGCGAAAGCCUGAACCAGCCAUGCCGCGUGUGUGAAGAAGGCCCUAGGGUUGUAAAGCACUUUAAGCAGGAAAGAAAAAGCCCGGGCUAAUACCCCGAGGCCUUGACGGUACCUGCAGAAUAAGCACCGGCAAACUCCGUACCAGCAGCCGCGGUAAUACGGAGGGUGCAAGCGUUAACCGGAAUUACUGGGCGUAAAGCGUGCGCAGGCGGCUCC